Molecule: ribosomal RNA, 1370 nt
Filed under: Staphylococcus aureus
Lineage: Bacteria; Bacillati; Bacillota; Bacilli; Caryophanales; Staphylococcaceae
Description: bacterial SSU rRNA
Rfam family: Bacterial small subunit ribosomal RNA
Source: RNAcentral
AUUUUGAACCGCAUGGUUCAAAAGUGAAAGACGGUCUUGCUGUCACUUAUAGAUGGAUCCGCGCUGCAUUAGCUAGUUGGUAAGGUAACGGCUUACCAAGGCAACGAUGCAUAGCCGACCUGAGAGGGUGAUCGGCCACACUGGAACUGAGACACGGUCCAGACUCCUACGGGAGGCAGCAGUAGGGAAUCUUCCGCAAUGGGCGAAAGCCUGACGGAGCAACGCCGCGUGAGUGAUGAAGGUCUUCGGAUCGUAAAACUCUGUUAUUAGGGAAGAACAUAUGUGUAAGUAACUGUGCACAUCUUGACGGUACCUAAUCAGAAAGCCACGGCUAACUACGUGCCAGCAGCCGCGGUAAUACGUAGGUGGCAAGCGUUAUCCGGAAUUAUUGGGCGUAAAGCGCGCGUAGGCGGUUUUUUAAGUCUGAUGUGAAAGCCCACGGCUCAACCGUGGAGGGUCAUUGGAAACUGGAAAACUUGAGUGCAGAAGAGGAAAGUGGAAUUCCAUGUGUAGCGGUGAAAUGCGCAGAGAUAUGGAGGAACACCAGUGGCGAAGGCGACUUUCUGGUCUGUAACUGACGCUGAUGUGCGAAAGCGUGGGGAUCAAACAGGAUUAGAUACCCUGGUAGUCCACGCCGUAAACGAUGAGUGCUAAGUGUUAGGGGGUUUCCGCCCCUUAGUGCUGCAGCUAACGCAUUAAGCACUCCGCCUGGGGAGUACGACCGCAAGGUUGAAACUCAAAGGAAUUGACGGGGACCCGCACAAGCGGUGGAGCAUGUGGUUUAAUUCGAAGCAACGCGAAGAACCUUACCAAAUCUUGACAUCCUUUGACAACUCUAGAGAUAGAGCUUUCCCCUUCGGGGGACAAAGUGACAGGUGGUGCAUGGUUGUCGUCAGCUCGUGUCGUGAGAUGUUGGGUUAAGUCCCGCAACGAGCGCAACCCUUAAGCUUAGUUGCCAUCAUUAAGUUGGGCACUCUAAGUUGACUGCCGGUGACAAACCGGAGGAAGGUGGGGAUGACGUCAAAUCAUCAUGCCCCUUAUGAUUUGGGCUACACACGUGCUACAAUGGACAAUACAAAGGGCAGCGAAACCGCGAGGUCAAGCAAAUCCCAUAAAGUUGUUCUCAGUUCGGAUUGUAGUCUGCAACUCGACUACAUGAAGCUGGAAUCGCUAGUAAUCGUAGAUCAGCAUGCUACGGUGAAUACGUUCCCGGGUCUUGUACACACCGCCCGUCACACCACGAGAGUUUGUAACACCCGAAGCCGGUGGAGUAACCUUUUAGGAGCUAGCCGUCGAAGGUGGGACAAAUGAUUGGGGUGAAGUCGUAACAAGGUAGCCGUAUCGGAAGGUGCGGCUGGAUCACCUCCUUU